RNAcentral lists this ribosomal RNA (479 nucleotides) under uncultured bacterium. Its description in RNAcentral is "partial 16S ribosomal RNA". It matches the Rfam family "Bacterial small subunit ribosomal RNA", at positions 28 to 507 of the family's 1533-position model. The record is from RNAcentral.
GAUGAACGCUCGCGGGAGGCUUAACACAUGCAAGCCGAGGGAGAAGUUGUUUUCUGACAGCGGACACCGGCGGACGGGUGAGUAACAUGUAUGCAACUUGCCUCUAUCAGUGGGAGAACCCGGUGAAACCCGGACUAAUACCUCAUAACAAAUGGAUCAGCAUUGAUUUAUUUUAAAAGAUUUAUCGGAUAGAGAUAGGCAUGCGUAGGAUUAGUUAGUUGGUUAGGUAACGGCUCACCAAGACGAUGAUCCUUAGGGGGCCUGAGAGGGUGAUCCCCCACACUGGUACUGAGACACGGACCAGACUCAUACGGGAGGCAGCAGUGAGGAAUAUUGGACAAUGGGUGAGAGCCUGAUCCAGCCAUCCCGCGUGCAGGAACACGGCCCUAUGGGUUGUAAACUGCUUUUAUACAGGAAUAAACCUACUCACGUGUGAGUAGUUGAAGGUACUGUAAGAAUAAGCACCGGCUAACUCCGUG